AUAAAAUGGUAACACAGUUUAUAAAAUUUAAGGAUUUUCUAGUUAUGCAUGGAUAAUAACUCUAAAGAUUUGACAAUUGUUUAAAUAUAUAGUGUUAGGCUUAUAAAAGCUAGUAAACCAGGUCUUUGUCAUUUCCUUCUACAGAAAGAAAUGUGAAUGUGUUUGAUGCAUUCUUUCCUGAAAAUUAAAGUAACAAAAAAAUUCCACUUAGUGAGUGGCCACAGAAGUUAUGUGCUUGAGAAUCCAGGAUAUGCUGGGGAGGAGUGGAGCUGCUUGCUGCCAUGUGUCCCCUGACCUGAAGAACAAGGAUGGUGCCCUUAAAAUGGAUGGUGUGACAAUGCCAGUGUGGUGGCCUAGCUGUCACCAGCCAGUGAGCAGAAAUGUGAACCUGUCCUGGCCCUCUUCUGCCAUGGACCCUGCUACCUCCUGUACCAGCUGACUACUGACUCUCCCUUCUUCAGGGAGCAGCUUGGUGGCACCCUGGACCUGACCCUGACCCAAGCCUGCUUCUAGGAAAAGCUAUCAGCUCCAUACAGCCCCACCAGGGAUGUGGGCCACAUGUUCACGCACUUUUAACAAGCUGCCUGAGAACAAGGCAGAUGGGCAGUCCAUCAUCAGCCAGCAGCCCAUGUUUGAAUCAUACACAGGAGACCCUCGGUAACAAAGUCUCUGCCGUGUUGGUGGGGCCCCCGAUGCUGAGCUGGCCUGUGUACCCAGAAGCUGUCUGACGGUGCUGGUGAUGGUCCCUGAAGCUGGGGCCUCUGAUGGCCUGGCUGAUCUGCCUCUGAUCUACAUCCCAUCACCCAAUCCUUACCUCCUAGUGGCCUGACUCCCAUUCCCUGGUGGCCCUAUUCCCCAGUCCCUCAUAAAAAGGUUUUUACUUCUGUGAAUGUAAUAAAAACUUCACCAGUUUUUAAAAAUGAAUAAGACAGCCAUGAACUCAAUAAUAUGACUUAAUAAGGCAAGUAUAAUCCCAAACUAGUAAGCAUCAAAUCAUUUGUUGACCUUUUGAAUAUGCUACAUGACAUUUUAAUAGCAUAUAUUUCCGGCUGUAUUUUAUAGAUGCUAAUAUUUUUGUUCAUAUAUACUGAAUAAAUACCAGUGGAACAAUAAGAGAAAGAACCUAAAAUGAUGAGUCAUCUGCAGAUAGAAAAAUAAAUAUUUCCACCUAAGUUAAGUGUUUGCCAUUUUUCCUUUGAUUGUUUGCUUCCAAAUAAUCCUUAGUUUAGUUUUGUACACAUAACCACUAAGAUGAAGAAGUCAAGGUCUCUAACUUAUUUCAGCCAAUUCGCUAACAUGAGCGACUGUAUGUAGUUGAAAAUCGGAUUGUAUCUGAACUUCGGCUUGCAUGGUGUCACAGUGUAAAUAUGAAGUUUAGCACAAAGACUUGUGUAUUCGAGGGCUUGAUCUCCAAUGCAGCACUGUUCAGAGGUGGAACCCAGAGGGAUGACUGGAUCAUGAGGGAGCUGACCAUUAAUGAGUGCACAGCUAAUGUGCUGCUGGGAGGUGAGCUCAGCUAGAAUAAGCAGUUCUCUGGGCCCUGCCUUUCAAGGGUAUAUUUGGUCUGAGCCCUUUCCUCUUGGCCUAUUGCCCUCUUUGCCUCCUGUCUGUCAUAAGACAGGCUGAUCUGCUCCAUCACAUGUGAUGUUUCUGCCUCACCACAGGCCUAAAGCGAUGGAGCCAGAUGAGUGUGGACUGAAACGUCUGAAGCCACUAGCCAAAAUAAACCUUCCUGCUCUAAAUUGUUUUUCUCAGAGAUUUGUUCACAAAGAUAAAAACUGACUACCACACAUGUUAUUUUGUAUUGUUAAGUUUAUGUAUGUUUAUCUACCACAUGUUUUGUUAUAAAAUAAUUUAAAAGAAUUUUCCAGUAAAAAUAACAUUUCUCC
Molecule: long non-coding RNA, 1889 nt
Organism: Fukomys damarensis (Damara mole-rat)
Lineage: Eukaryota; Metazoa; Chordata; Mammalia; Rodentia; Bathyergidae
Source: Ensembl